CCUACGGGAGGCAGCAGUGAGGAAUAUUGGACAAUGGGCGCAAGCCUGAUCCAGCCGUGCCGCGUGCAGGAUGACGGUCCUAUGGAUUGUAAACUGCUUUUAUACAGGAAGAAACACUCCGACGUGUCGGAGCUUGACGGUACUGUAAGAAUAAGGAUCGGCUAACUCCGUGCCAGCAGCCGCGGUAAU
Molecule: ribosomal RNA, 189 nt
Filed under: uncultured bacterium
Lineage: Bacteria
Description: partial 16S ribosomal RNA
Rfam family: Bacterial small subunit ribosomal RNA
Source: RNAcentral